RNAcentral lists this ribosomal RNA (713 nucleotides) under uncultured Sphingobacteriales bacterium. RNAcentral's name for it is "bacterial SSU rRNA". It matches the Rfam family "Bacterial small subunit ribosomal RNA", at positions 94 to 803 of the family's 1533-position model. Lineage: Bacteria; Pseudomonadati; Bacteroidota; Sphingobacteriia; Sphingobacteriales. The record is from RNAcentral.
AGUGGCGCACGGGUGCGUAACACGUACACAACCUGCCUUAUACUGGAGCAUACCCCCAAGAAAUUGGGACUAACUCUCCAUAAUGUUAUGAAGUGGCAUCACUUUAUAAUUAAAACUCCGGUGGUAUAAGAUGGGUGUGCGUCCGAUUAGAUAGUUGGUGAGGUAACGGCUCACCAAGUCAACGAUCGGUAGCUGGUCUGAGAGGACGAUCAGCCACACGGGCACUGAGACACGGGCCCGACUCCUACGGGAGGCAGCAGUAGGGAAUAUUGGACAAUGGGCGCAAGCCUGAUCCAGCCAUCCCGCGUGAAGGAUUAAGGUCCUAUGGAUUGUAAACUUCUUUUCUCUGGGAAUAAAAAGUGGGAUUCAUUCCUGCCUUGAAGGUACCAGAGGAAUAAGCACCGGCUAACUCCGUGCCAGCAGCCGCGGUAAUACGGAGGGUGCAAGCGUUAUCCGGAUUCACUGGGUUUAAAGGGUGCGUAGGUGGCUUUGUAAGUCAGUGGUGAAAUGCCGGAGCUCAACUCCGGAACUGCCAUUGAUACUGCUUAGCUUGAAUCAAGUCGAGGUGGAUGGAAUAUUACAUGUAGCGGUGAAAUGCUUAGAUAUGUAAUAGAACACCGAUUGCGAAGGCAGUUCACUAGGCUUGUAUUGACACUGAGGCACGAAAGCGUGGGGGAUCAAACAGGAUUAGAUACCCUGGUAGUCCACGCCCU